UUUAAUUCGAAGCAACGCGAAGAACCUUACCAAAUCUUGACAUCCUCUGACCCCUCUAGAGAUAGAGUUUUCCCCUUCGGGGGACAGAGUGACAGGUGGUGCAUGGUUGUCGUCAGCUCGUGUCGUGAGAUGUUGGGUUAAGUCCCGCAACGAGCGCAACCCUUAAGCUUAGUUGCCAUCAUUAAGUUGGGCACUCUAAGUUGACUGCCGGUGACAAACCGGAGGAAGGUGGGGAUGACGUCAAAUCAUCAUGCCCCUUAUGAUUUGGGCUACACACGUGCUACAAUGGACAAUACAAAGGGUAGCGAAACCGCGAGGUCAAGCAAAUCCCAUAAAGUUGUUCUCAGUUCGGAUUGUAGUCUGCAACUCGACUAUAUGAAGCUGGAAUCGCUAGUAAUCGUAGAUCAGCAUGCUA
RNAcentral lists this ribosomal RNA (415 nucleotides) under uncultured bacterium. RNAcentral describes it as "bacterial SSU rRNA". It matches the Rfam family "Bacterial small subunit ribosomal RNA", at positions 945 to 1359 of the family's 1533-position model. The record is from RNAcentral.